RNAcentral lists this ribosomal RNA (500 nucleotides) under Pseudomonas sp. Z3NS-111. Its description in RNAcentral is "bacterial SSU rRNA". It matches the Rfam family "Bacterial small subunit ribosomal RNA", at positions 47 to 541 of the family's 1533-position model. The record is from RNAcentral. Lineage: Bacteria; Pseudomonadati; Pseudomonadota; Gammaproteobacteria; Pseudomonadales; Pseudomonadaceae.
CCUAACACAUGCAAGUCGAGCGGAUGAAGGGAGCUUGCUCNCUGAUUCAGCGGCGGACGGGUGAGUAAUGCCUAGGAAUCUGCCUGGUAGUGGGGGACAACGUUUCGAAAGGAACGCUAAUACCGCAUACGUCCUACGGGAGAAAGCAGGGGACCUUCGGGCCUUGCGCUAUCAGAUGAGCCUAGGUCGGAUUAGCUAGUUGGUGAGGUAAUGGCUCACCAAGGCGACGAUCCGUAACUGGUCUGAGAGGAUGAUCAGUCACACUGGAACUGAGACACGGUCCAGACUCCUACGGGAGGCAGCAGUGGGGAAUAUUGGACAAUGGGCGAAAGCCUGAUCCAGCCAUGCCGCGUGUGUGAAGAAGGUCUUCGGAUUGUAAAGCACUUUAAGUUGGGAGGAAGGGUUGUAGAUUAAUACUCUGCAAUUUUGACGUUACCGACAGAAUAAGCACCCGACUAACUCUGUGCCAGCAGCCGCGGUAAUACAGAGGGUGCAAGCGU